Molecule: signal recognition particle RNA, 93 nt
Filed under: Blastochloris sp.
Lineage: Bacteria; Pseudomonadati; Pseudomonadota; Alphaproteobacteria; Hyphomicrobiales; Blastochloridaceae
Description: signal recognition particle sRNA small type
Rfam family: Bacterial small signal recognition particle RNA
About the family: The signal recognition particle (SRP) is a universally conserved ribonucleoprotein involved in the co-translational targeting of proteins to membranes. Archaeal SRP consists of a 7S RNA and homologues of the eukaryotic SRP19 and SRP54 proteins.
Source: RNAcentral
GCCAGAAUCUGUGGAAGCGUAGGCUUGCGAACCCCGCCAGGGCCGAAAGGCAGCAACGGCACCAUGACCUCGUUUGCUGCAGAUUCUGGUUUU